RNAcentral lists this transfer RNA (73 nucleotides) under Chloroflexota bacterium. RNAcentral describes it as "Chloroflexi bacterium tRNA-Glu". It matches the Rfam family "tRNA". From Rfam's summary of the family: Transfer RNA (tRNA) molecules are approximately 80 nucleotides in length. Their secondary structure includes four short double-helical elements and three loops (D, anti-codon, and T loops). Lineage: Bacteria; Bacillati; Chloroflexota. RNAcentral also lists the same sequence under 2 other names. The record is from RNAcentral.
GCCCCCAUCGUCUAGUGGCCUAGGACAUAGCCCUCUCAAGGCUAAAACCGGGGUUCGAGUCCCCGUGGGGGCA